This 450-nucleotide ribosomal RNA is filed under the name uncultured bacterium. RNAcentral describes it as "bacterial SSU rRNA". It matches the Rfam family "Bacterial small subunit ribosomal RNA", at positions 355 to 825 of the family's 1533-position model. The record is from RNAcentral.
UAGGGAAUAUUGCACAAUGGGGGAAACUCUGAUGCAGCGACGCCGCAUGAGUGAUGAAGGCCUCCGGGUCGUAAAGCUCUGUCGUAUGGGACUAACAAAAUGAAGGUACCAUGCAAGAAAGGAUCGGCUAACUUCGUGCCAGCAGCCGCGGUAAGACGAGGGAUCCUAGCGUUGUUCGGAAUUAUUGGGCGUAAAGCGGGUGUAGGCGGACUUAUAAGUCAGGUGCGAAAUCCCAGGGCUCAACCCUGGAAGUGCACUUGAUACUGCAAGUCUUGAGUGUGGUAGAGGCUAUUAGAAUUCUUGGUGUAGUGGUGAAAUACGUAGAUAUCAAGAGGAAUACCGGAGGCGAAGGCGGAUAGCUGGGCCAACACUGACGCUGAGACCCGAAAGCGUGGGGAUCAAACAGGAUUAGAUACCCACGUAGUCCCUGAGCGGGCUGGCAAGGCGCAU